Vicia villosa (hairy vetch) is the source of this 423-nucleotide long non-coding RNA. RefSeq lists it as uncharacterized. NCBI's taxonomy places the organism in Eukaryota, Viridiplantae, Streptophyta, Magnoliopsida, Fabales, Fabaceae. The record is from RefSeq and is a predicted model, not a curated record. The transcript has 2 exons.
CUUUAUAGUUUAUAGCUAAAUAAAAUCAUUUAUUACAUGGAAAGGUGAGAAAUAUGACUAAAAUUAUGAAAUUUGUUUAUGUCACAAUUAACAUUCUUUCUCUAUUUCUUGUUGCUACAAACGUUGAAUCGUGGUUUCCUAGUAGACGAUGUUUUAGAGAUUAUGAAUGUCAUAAAAAUAAGUGUCGAGAACCUAAGAUAGCAAAGUGUGUCGGUGGUUGGUGUAAUUGUGUAGCAGCAAAGAAAUUUAUACCUUCUUAAUUCUGUAUUUAUUACCAUAUCCAAGAAAUUAACUAAUAUCAGUACAACGAUUUUUCUGUCACUUAGUUUUUAUGUUUGUGUUUGCGCCUUAUGGUGUAAUUUUUAUUUCAGUUCUACGUUUAAGAUUAUGGCUAUGAAAUAAAAUAACGUCAAUUCUUAUUUA